UGUUUUGUGGUACCCUCAAAUAAAUAACAGCCCUCUAUUUUCGUUCAUCCAAUGGCCUAUAACAAUUCAUACCACUUCUAAACAGAUGAGAAGUAUUAUUCAUACCACAGUCAAAUUUCAGCACCGUACCAUAACAGGCCGUGAACGGGCCUGGCCUAAGAGCCCAAGAGAGCCCAAUUCAAGUGCAAUGCGUUGACAUUCAGGGAAAAAACGUAACCCUCGUCUCCUUAUCCAGCGAGUCAACACGGAUGCAUGGUGCCGCCGCCGAACUCCCGGGCAACUCCGGCGCCCCACCGCAUUGGUCCCUCUUCUGCGCAAGAUCCACACCUACCUGCCGCCCCCGUCCUCCUACCCCAAACUUAGCCACGUCCCGCCCGUGGCGCCUUCCCGCCUGGCCCCAAUCAAGGACCCGACAGCGCCACCUUCCUCGUCCGUGGCGCGCUUCGUCUCGCCCCACCUUCGUCGUCUCCUCUGCAACCUGAAAGGGAGAUAAAGAAUCUGGAUUUGUAAUAGUUUUUUCCUUUUUGCCAUUUUAUAUCCUUUGUUGGCCUCUUGGUGCCAUUUUACUCCUGAGUUUUCUAGCAUUGACAUGUAUUCUGACAAUCUUUCAUGUCAUGAUUUUGAUCUUUGAACUCAGCUCUGUCAAAAAUUGCCAAUAAAGUCAUUAGGAAACUACUAGAUGGUGUGUGUAAUCCUGUCCUGAUUUUCCGUAUGAGUCAAAUGCAUUGUUCUACUAGUAUUAAAAUGAGUACUGUUUGGUCAAGUUCGCAUGCAAUCUGUCAAAUGGUAAUAAGCACUAAUAAUACAUAAAUAUAUGAUGACCUAUGUUAUCUUCUUCAGCUAGCUCUCUUCCUCUAGGGGCUGUUCAUGCCUUGAGGCCGGGACACAAUGGCUACACUGGUGAGGGUGGGGACUCCAGCAUGUCUUGGCCACGUGAUGAGUCUUUGAGCACUUCCGUGUACAUGCUUACUGUACUAAGCUUGCGAGCAUCCCUGUGAUGUUUUUCGAUCUGCCAUUUGAUGUUUUCUCUGGUUUUGAGCAGUCCAUUUUCUUCAGUGAUCAGAUUGUUCAUGAUUUCGACGACCCAAGCUGUCUUAGGUCCCACGACAAGGCUACUCAAGUGGAUGCUGAGAAAAUUAAGACGGACGGUUACAGUUGGAGGUAACAAGACAUCACCUAUUGAUAGAUGAUUUGGAAGAGGAGGUUUGGGACGAAAAUAAUAUUGUGAAACAAUUAUGUAGCGACAAUAUUCAACAUGAGACAUAUCUAACAUUUCAUUGAUGCGGUGAUAGAAGAGUUGGAAGCGAUGAAGAAAUUAUUAAGAAAGAUGUUCCACAUCAGGACAAGAUAAAGGAGCUUGAGGUUCUUACACAGAAAAUGAUCAAAUUUUCAGUGGCAACUAGUGCAGUCGCCUCAGCAACUGUCUUAAAAUUUAUUUUUGAACUUGUAUUUUUGUUAAGCUGUGAUUCGUGAGUGACUUGUAAAUAUUAUUGAAUUCAUAAUAUCUGGUGGCAAGUCCUGUCAUUUUAGAGGAUGUUUUAGUUUUCUGUCA
Lolium perenne is the source of this 1552-nucleotide long non-coding RNA. RefSeq lists it as uncharacterized. The record is from RefSeq and is a predicted model, not a curated record. Lineage: Eukaryota; Viridiplantae; Streptophyta; Magnoliopsida; Poales; Poaceae.